GCCGGCCUAGCUCAAUUGGUAGAGCAACUGACUUGUAAUCAGUAGGCUGGGGGUUCAAGUCCUCUGGCCGGCACCA
Molecule: transfer RNA, 76 nt
Filed under: Staphylococcus aureus
Lineage: Bacteria; Bacillati; Bacillota; Bacilli; Caryophanales; Staphylococcaceae
Also listed under: 1 other name
Description: tRNA-Thr(tgt)
Rfam family: tRNA
About the family: Transfer RNA (tRNA) molecules are approximately 80 nucleotides in length. Their secondary structure includes four short double-helical elements and three loops (D, anti-codon, and T loops).
Source: RNAcentral